This is a long non-coding RNA of Heterocephalus glaber (naked mole-rat), 351 nucleotides long. The record is from Ensembl. NCBI's taxonomy places the organism in Eukaryota, Metazoa, Chordata, Mammalia, Rodentia, Bathyergidae.
CCUCACAGCGCGCAGGUUCCAGGGUGCACCCGAGGCUCCGCAAAUGCUGAGCUUCGCAGGAGCGUGGUUUUCCCCGGCUGUGUCCACCGAAGUGACCGCAGGGGAGAGGUUUUAGCUCCUGAGAGACAAGAGGGGACCUGAAUGGGUGGCUGCGGAUUCCACUUGACAGAAGAAAUUUUAUACAGCAGAAUCAUGAGGGUCUCACUAAGUUUCCCAGGCUGGACGUGGACUUGUGAUCCUCCUGCAUUAGCCUCCCAAGCAGCUGGAUUAUAGGCAUGCACCCCCAUGCUUGGCUUGCUAGUGUUUUGUGGUUCUCUCCUUCAGUGCUCAAAGCCUUAAUAAAUAAAGGUU